AAAAAACCUAAAAAUGCUUCUUCGUGAAAGCAAACACGACUUAUUCAGAAACGCUUAUUCAGAGAAGCACUUUUUCUCACGCGCGUUGGCUCAAGUUUUCUCGGUUUUUCUUGUGCAACACUCUCUCAAACUCACGCUCUCUCCCUCCCAAUUCUUACACAACAACAACAAUUACGACGCAGAUUCUCUUAGUCUCGAAUUGGUUGGAUUUGGAUUUCAGAACUGAUUCGAAUUGUUAUCGACUCGCGUUGGGGUUCAGAAUCUGUUUGCGCUCGAAAUUUCAACUCAGAGCAGUUUGAGUUAAAGUUACAGCAAUCAUACGAUAUCAUAAAGCUGAGAAUGGAGGAAUGUUUACCGGUUGAAGCGACGACCAGAAGAAAAUGCAGCUUUCGAUCUUGCUCACAAGCCUAUACUCAAAUGUUCUUUUAUGCUAUCGUUCAAAAAGGUUGUCUUCCUUGGUCUACAAACAAGAAAUAAAGUGGUAAGAGUGGAGAAGAGUCUCAACUAUCUCACCAGUUCAGCCGUUUGAAUCAUGUCAUGAUGGUCUGUUGAGCGAAGUGCCUUAUAGAUGACAUUUGAUUCUUUGAAGGCAUCUGCUUCAAUGGCUAUGACAUUUCCCGACGCUCCUGCCCAGAAAGGUUACUAAUUUUCCCAAGAAUCUCUUAAAUGGAGCUCAUGAGAUUACAUGAGACAUUAUUAGAAAGUAAAUCAACUGCUGGAAGAGUGUGAAGGUUGUUGGUUAUAGAGGAGAAAUGCUGAUUUUGGAACUGUAUGGAUAGAUCACAGGUUAUGACGUGAUUGAUUGAUAUCAUGCUACAAAAUUAUCAAAUCAAGUGGUAAUGGCAAAAACUUAAUCUGCUACAAAAUUGUCUGCCUGAAAUCUUGUGGACUGUGUAAAGCAGGGGAUGCCUUGGACUAUUCAGCAACUGUUUUACACCAUUUUGGUGGUGGGCAAAGAUUAGGUCCAGGGGUAGAACUCUCUAGGCUAGAGCUCUCUAUUUUUCUUCACCAGCUAGUUACUACUUCCAGGUGUCUGAAAUGCAUGGAAUUGAAGCUUCCUUGUGAAGGUUUUGUCAGGUGUUCUACUGUUAGUUGUUUGAAGGUCCGUUAUUUUGGUUAUUGAAUCUUUAUAUUAUAGGUAAGUAUGAAAUGAAAUACCCGUGGGGGAUAGAUUCUAUAUGAGCUUUGAUCUGGUGAAUUUUCCGAUCUAUGUGAAAAGUACGGGUAAUAUUUUUCGAAUUAAUAUGCAUGUGUGAGUUUGAAAAUUACAUUGUUUUCUUUUCUUUUCCCAUUUCAAAUGUUAUACACGGUCAAACCUGUGUAACGGGACAAAUCGUCGAUUUACUGGUUUUUUAUGCUCCAUGAAUUGAUUCUGUUAAUUUAUAACCCUUCUGUUAUAAAUAUCAAUAACAAAAGUGAUGCUUCUAUAUGUUAAAAUACAACUGUUAUUUUUUUGGUUCUUUAACCACAAAUAUUAGUGAAGUGUCAAUGGACGUCAACUAUUGUGAUGCUUUGAAUUGGAUAUCUUUGAAGGUGAGUUCAUUCUUCAUUCAACUGUAUCCCUGUAGUGUUGUAGAAAAUGAUUUCCACUACAAACUUGAUGGAUUGGACUCAAUUUUGACAAUUAUUGGAGUAUGGUUUAUUUCAUAUAUCUAAUAACCCGAGGCUUGUUAGUAUUGGCCAAUUAUGGUUAGACUUCAUUAAAACUGUUAGUGACCCAUUUCUUACAUCCAAAGGUACUUUUUUUCAAAAUGCCAAUUCUUUAAGCAAGUUAUGCUGUGAGAUGUCAUAGUUUCAUGAUCUUGCUUCAUGGUGUAAGAGUGUACAAAACAGUUUCAAUGAACUUGCUUUCGGAAACUCGAAAGUUCACCGUGCCAAAUAACAUGAAGUUGCUUUCGGUUCCUUUGAGCUGCUGAUAUUGGAUGCCAUUUGAUUUUAGCCUUUUAGAGGUGGGGGCUGCAGUCUGUAUGUUGAAUAUGUGGCUUCAUUGGGAUUAAAUUGACUUUUAUGUGAUGUUUUGAAUGUUAAUGGUUUAAUUUUUUUAGUGUUAUUUUGAAUAAAAUACAGUUUCAAAGUAUCAAAAAAUUUAGUCAAUUUUUUUUUAAUUUUCAAAAUAUAUUAGUUGUGGAUUUCGCGUCCUGCAGAUUUACCUGCGAAUGUUCAAAACCCAUGAAGGUUUUAGCUAUUGACGAAACGCCGCAGGAAAAACCGCAGGAAAUUAGUUUGCUGCGGAUUUUUUACUCAUUUUCGCAGGUAAAUCCGCAUGAAAAUAGAGUAAUAGUGUAUAGUUUCCUUAUCUUCUUUGUUAAUCAUAAUUUCAUAAUCCAAAAUUUGUAAACCUUUACCUUCCAUGGAUGAAUAACGAAUACCAUAACAAGGAAAGGAUAGAUAGCAGCCAGACCACAGUAUUAUCCAGUAACAUUUGUUGAAAAUAUUAACAGUUUCAUAGCAUGUCUUAGUCCCAAAAUAGUUGCAUUUAACAAGGGCGUAUCUUAGGUUGUAUUGCACAAAUAAGAAAAAGAAUGAGAACAAAAUUCAUUAUAUUUUGAUCGACAAUGACAAUAACACAAGAUAUAAAGUUCAAGAUAAAUUUGGCAUAUUACGUCAUUUGGAUCCAAUAGCGAAAGGAUCAAGCUUUGACUCAUUAGUGGUUCCCAAAUCCACUGACUGCGAAGUUCUCCUUGUCUCAUCUGAACCAGAAAAUGUGUAGUGAACCUGAGGUGCAACUCCUAAUUACUUCGUCAAUAAAUUAGAAAGCUACUUCUAACUUAAAAGCACAAGGCCCUUGAACUUCAAUAUAACAUAAGAUGAAUAUGGAAGCUGGGAGAAAAAUUUGCAUGGAUACGCACAUAAUUCAUUAGUGUUAGGAACAAUCAAUAAAAAAAGAGAAUUUUUUAAAUUUAUUUAAAAUUUGAAUUCUUUUUUAAUUGGAUUCAUGGGGUGGUUGUGAUUGGAAGCUGGUGUUCAAUCUGUUAAAAUUCUUAUUAAAGGGAAAGACAUAGUCAACGGCUCAACUGAGUUCUUAGUUUUGCUUACAUCACCACCAUCAUUAGAUCCAGUUGGAACUUUCCACCCAAAAGAAGAUGAUAUUUCUGCAAUAAAAGAUGAAAGGCAAGAUCUGACUGUUCUCAAGCUCUACCAUCGGAAAACGAGAUCGUGCCCUAAAAAACAGCUUUGGAAAAUGAAAGUGGAAGAAUUGAGCGACUGGUAUCAACUAAAACAUCAACCCGUACAUUGGAAUGCACAUCCAAUCUCGGCACUCUUGAGAGGCUAUACCACUCUGCACACAUUGAAUUCACUCCAAGAACUAUUACAAUCCUGCUCUUCACCAUCUAGAAUAGAUGACAGCCAAAUAUAACACUUUCAUCAUCCAAUUUAGGGAACUCACAUGCAACGCUACUAUCAAUGCUGCAAGUUACACAGCAAUUCAACACUGAAUAUAUUAAAGCAGUAGCAUCUGAUACUAUGAUUGUCUGUAUAAGGUCAAAAGCAGAGGACUGUGAAGUCAGGAGUCCUUCAAAGAUGAGACGAGCGAGGGUUCCCUGUCCAACACAAAGGUUGCCGUAUGAUGGGAUUCAUUCAUAUUAUAAAUGCAGUAGUUGUAUAUGUGGGAAUUUGACCUGCAUGCCACCCCUUUGAAUUUUUAAUCCCAAUAUGUCACCCUCCCAAAAUUUUGUCCCAAAAUGCCACCCUUUUGUACCUUUUUUCCACUUUUUGCCAGACUGCAUUUUUUUUUUGCGUGCAAAGCAGGUGCCCGCCAUUUUGAAUGGAGGCCAUGUG
Molecule: long non-coding RNA, 3780 nt
Organism: Vicia villosa (hairy vetch)
Lineage: Eukaryota; Viridiplantae; Streptophyta; Magnoliopsida; Fabales; Fabaceae
Exons: 6
Source: RefSeq, a predicted model, not a curated record